AGUUCGAUCCCGGCUCAGAUUGAACGCUGGCGGGAUGCUUUACACAUGCAAGUCAGAACGGCAGCACGGACUUCGGUCUGGUGGCGAGUGGCGAACGGGUGAGUAAUGUAUCGGAACGUGCCUAGUAGCGGGGAUAACUACGCGAAAGUUGCGGCUAAUACUGCAUACACCCUUCGGGGAAAGCGGGGACCUCGGGCCUCGCACUAUUAGAGCGGCCGAUAUCGGAUUAGCUAGUUGGUGGGGUAACGGUCACCAAGGGCGACGAUCCGUAGCUGGUUUGAGAGGACGACCAGCCACACUGGGACUGAGACACGGCCCAGACUCUACGGAGGCAGCAGUGGGAAUUUGACAAUGGGGAAACUCCUGAUCCAGCCAUCCCGCGUGUGCGAUGAAGGCCUUCGGGUUGUGUGUGCUAAUUUUUGGCAGGAAAGAAACGGCACGGGAUAAUACCCCGUGCAACUGACGGUACCUGCAGAAUAAGCACCGGCUAACUACGUGCCAGCAGCCGCGGUAGCACAGCGUAAGCGUUAAUCGGAAUUACUGGGCGCAGCGCAGGCGGUUCGGAAAGAUGUGAAAUCCCAGAGCUUAACUUUGGAACUGCAUUUUUAACUACCGAGCUAGAGUGUGUCAGGAGGAGGUGGAAUUCCGCAAAGAACAGCAGAUAUGCGGAGGAACACCGAUGGCGAAGGCAGCCUCCUGGGAUAACACCGACGCUCAUGAACGAAAGCGCAAGAUGUCAGAUUAGAUACCUUUGUGUCCACGCCCUAAACGAUGCUCAACUAGCUGUUGGGGCCUUCGGGCCUUGGUAGCGCAGCUAACGCGUGAAGUUGACCGCCUGGGGAGUACGGUCGCAAGAUUAAAACUCAAAGGAAUUGACGGGGACCCGCACAAGCGGUGGAUGAUGUGGAUUAACGUUGAUGCAACGCGAAAAACCUUACCUACCUGAUGUCUGGAAUCCCGAAGAGAUUUGGGAGUGCUCGCAAGAGAACCGGAACACAGGUGCUGCAUGGCUGUCGUCAGUCUUCGUGUCGCGAGAUGUUGGGUUAAGUCCCGCAACGAGCGCAACCCUUGUCAUUAGCUGCCGGAGCGCCAGCACCCCCAUCGAGACUGCCGGUGACAAACCGGAGGAAGGUGGGGAUGACGUCAAGUCCUCAUGGCUCUUAUGGUAGGCUUCGCCACGUCAUACAAUGGUCGGGACAGAGGGUCGCCAACCCGCGAGGGGGAGCCAAUCCCAGAAACCCGAUCAGUCCGGAUCGCAGUCUGCAACUCGACUGCGUGAAGUCGGGAACGCUAGUAAUCGCGGAUCAGCAUGUCGCGGUGAACGUUCCCGGUCUUGUACACACCGCCCGUCACACCAUGGGAGUGGGUUUACCAGAAGUAGUUAGCCUAACCGUAAGGAGGGCGAUUACCAGUAGGAUUCAUGACUGGGGUGAAGUCGUAACAAAGGUAA
RNAcentral lists this ribosomal RNA (1450 nucleotides) under uncultured Bordetella sp. RNAcentral's name for it is "partial 16S-23S ribosomal RNA intergenic spacer". It matches the Rfam family "Bacterial small subunit ribosomal RNA". The record is from RNAcentral. Lineage: Bacteria; Pseudomonadati; Pseudomonadota; Betaproteobacteria; Burkholderiales; Alcaligenaceae.